This 253-nucleotide ribosomal RNA is filed under the name uncultured bacterium. Its description in RNAcentral is "partial 16S ribosomal RNA". It matches the Rfam family "Bacterial small subunit ribosomal RNA", at positions 524 to 776 of the family's 1533-position model. The record is from RNAcentral.
UACGUAGGCAGCGAGCGUUGUUCGGAGUUACUGGGCGUAAAGGGUGUGUAGGCGGUCCUCUAAGUUUGGUGUGAAAUCUCCCGGCUCAACCUGUGAAUGCCGCUGGAAACUGUCUGGCUAGAGUCCGGAAGGGGCGAGUGGAAUUCCUGGUGUAGCGGUGAAAUGCGCAGAUAUCAGGAGGAACACCAAUGGCGAAGGCAGCAGACUGGGGCACUCCUGACACUGAAACAUGAAAGCGUGGGGAUCAAACAGG